UGCCAGCCGCCGCGGUAAGACGAACCGUCCAAACGUUAUUCGGUAUCACUGGGCGUAAAGCGCGCGUAGGCGGCUAUUUAAGUCAGAUGUGAAAGUCCACGGCUCAACCGUGGAAGUGCAUUUGAAACUGGAUAGCUUGAGUACUGGAGGGGGUGGUGGAAUUCCCGGUGUAGAGGUGAAAUUCGUAGAUAUCGGGAGGAAUACCGGUGGCGAAGGCGACCACCUGGCCAGAUACUGACGCUGAGGUGUGAAAGCGUGGGGAGCAAACAGGAUUAGAUA
Molecule: ribosomal RNA, 279 nt
Filed under: uncultured bacterium
Lineage: Bacteria
Description: partial 16S ribosomal RNA
Rfam family: Bacterial small subunit ribosomal RNA
Source: RNAcentral